UAUAUUUUGAAAAAUAUACUAUUUUGUCUUUAUAUUUAUUUCCAUUAAUCUACUCAGUCCCUACGUCAAAUUUUCUGUUAAUCAAACUACUAUUUAGUCCAUUUAUUUUAGUGAAUCUAAUUAGUUGCUCCCUAUAUUUUAAAAAGCAUAUUAGUUGGUUAUUGUAAUUUGGUUCUAUUAACUCAUUAGUCUCUCUGUUUUUUUUGUAUACCCUAAUUAACCUGACCCUCUAUCCCUCGUUUCUCUCUCACCCACCCUUAUUUCUCUCCCCUUAUACUUCUCCUCCUCCUCUUGCACCCAUAAUCUUCUCUCCCUCAUUCUCUCUCUAUUUUCAUCUUUUCAUUUUAAUUGGUAAGAGCUCUAUGCAUAAAAAGGCUAUUCAAUUCUUCUAAAUCUCCAAGCAAUAAGAUGAUAAUUUAGGAAAAUUAUUUUUUCAAUAGAGAAAACACAAAAAUGA
This 457-nucleotide unclassified non-coding RNA is filed under the name Hevea brasiliensis (rubber tree). Lineage: Eukaryota; Viridiplantae; Streptophyta; Magnoliopsida; Malpighiales; Euphorbiaceae. The record is from RNAcentral.